GAUCCGACCCAAUUAAUUUAUUACCCAACCCGUAAAAUAACCCAAAUAAGCCAAACCUAACCAGUAUAACAUAUCUAUAGCCUGCCCCUCUCUCUCUCUCUAAAAAAAAAAACGCAGAUCAUCUUCAACCUCUUCAAAUGGAAGCUGCAAUUGUGAUUUAAUCGUCUUCAGAUGGGUGAAGUAGUUUCCACUAUUCCAAUGAAGUCUUACAAUGUCCGAAAUUAGUUGUAAUUCAACGAAGAAGUGUCACUGUGGUGAAAUUGCUCGUUGUUUCAAUUCGAAAACACCUUCAAAUCCUGGUAGGAUAUUCUAUAAGUCUCCUAAACUUAAGGCUGAAAAUUGUGAUUUUUGGGAGUGGCAAGAUAAUUUUCUAGACAAUGCUUUAUUGGAAAUAAGUGAUUUGAAGGGUAAAUUGGAAGUGGCUACGGCGAAGAUGGACAAUUUAAGAGAGUCGUUGAAUGCGGUUAAGCUCGAAAGAGACAACUUGAAGAAAAAGGUGCAUAACUUGGAGGCUAUAAAUAACUCUCAAGUGAGCAAAUCAAGGGAAUUGGAAGAGAAGAUGUUGAAGUUGAAGAUGUUGUUUAUGAUUUCAUUGUCCGUAUUAGUUGGAUUUUUUUGUCGCUAAUUUGGGAUGAAUUAUGCUUGGUCUAGUAAUAGAAGUGAAAGGCUUGUUUUGGUAGAUGACGAUGUGUAGGAGUAGAAGUGUUUGUUUAGAAGUUGAAGUCUUGAUAUGUAAGCUAGUUUGUUGUUGUUAUUGUAUGUGUAAACUUGCUAAUUUAGUGUUGCUAAUAAGAAAUCCAUUUUUUCUCUCUGUUGGACUCAUGGGG
Molecule: RNA transcript, 827 nt
Organism: Lycium barbarum (goji berry)
Lineage: Eukaryota; Viridiplantae; Streptophyta; Magnoliopsida; Solanales; Solanaceae
Exons: 4
Source: RefSeq, a predicted model, not a curated record